RNAcentral lists this ribosomal RNA (431 nucleotides) under uncultured bacterium. RNAcentral's name for it is "partial 16S ribosomal RNA". It matches the Rfam family "Bacterial small subunit ribosomal RNA", at positions 29 to 506 of the family's 1533-position model. The record is from RNAcentral.
ACGAACGCUGGCGGCAUGCCUAACACAUGCAAGUCGAACGAGACCUUCGGGUCUAGUGGCGCACGGGUGCGUAACGCGUGGGAACCUGCCCUUAGGUUCGGAAUAACUCCCCGAAAGGGGUGCUAAUACCGGAUAAUGUCUUCGGACCAAAGAUUUAUCGCCUUUGGAUGGGCCCGCGUUGGAUUAGCUAGUUGGUAGGGUAAAAGCCUACCAAGGCGACGAUCCAUAGCUGGUCUGAGAGGAUGAUCAGCCACACUGGGACUGAGACACGGCCCAGACUCCUACGGGAGACAGCAGUGGGGAAUAUUGGACAAUGGGCGAAAGCCUGAUCCAGCAAUGCCGCGUGAGUGAUGAAGGCCUUAGGGUUGUAAAGCUCUUUUACCCGGGAUGAUAAUGACAGUACCGGGAGAAUAAGCUCCGGCUAACUCCGU